Molecule: ribosomal RNA, 497 nt
Filed under: uncultured bacterium
Lineage: Bacteria
Description: partial 16S ribosomal RNA
Rfam family: Bacterial small subunit ribosomal RNA
Source: RNAcentral
GAUGAGCGCUGGCGGCGUGCCUAAUACAUGCAAGUCGAGCGAACAGACGAGGAGCUUGCUCCUCUGACGUUAGCGGCGGACGGGUGAGUAACACGUGGAUACCCUACCUAUAAGACUGGGAUAACUUCGGGAAACCGGAGCUAAUACCGGAUAAUAUAUUGAACCGCAUGGUUCAAUAGUGAAAGACGGUUUUGCUGUCACUUAUAGAUGGAUCCGCGCCGCAUUAGCUAGUUGGUAAGGUAACAGCUUACCAAGGCAACGAUGCGUAGCCGACCUGAGAGGGUGAUCGGCCACACUGGAACGGAGACAGGGUCAAGGCGCCUGCGGGAGGCAGCAGUAGGGAAUCUUACGCAGUGGGCGAAAGCCUGGCGGAGUGACGCGGCGUGAGUGAUGAAGGUCUUCGGAGCGUAAAACUCUGUUAUUAGGGAAGAACAAAUGUGUAAGGAACUAUGCAAGUCUUGACGGUAACGAGUCAGAAAGCCACGGCUAACUACGUG